CAGCCGUAAACUAUGCGCGUUAGGUGUACUGGUGACCACGAGUCACCGGGGUGCCGAAGGGAAACCGUGAAACGUGCCGCCUGGGAAGUACGGUCGCAAGGCUGAAACUUAAAGGAAUUGGCGGGGGGAGGCACCACAACGGGUGGGAGCCUGCGGUUUAAUUGGACUCAACGCCGGAAAUCUCACCGGAUAGGACAGACAUAUGAUAGUCGGGCUGAAGACUCUACUUGAUGAUCCGAGAGGAGGUGCAUGGCGUCAGUGACU
This 264-nucleotide ribosomal RNA is filed under the name uncultured archaeon. RNAcentral's name for it is "partial 16S ribosomal RNA". It matches the Rfam family "Archaeal small subunit ribosomal RNA", at positions 748 to 1008 of the family's 1478-position model. The record is from RNAcentral.